RNAcentral lists this ribosomal RNA (514 nucleotides) under uncultured bacterium. RNAcentral's name for it is "bacterial SSU rRNA". It matches the Rfam family "Bacterial small subunit ribosomal RNA", at positions 28 to 513 of the family's 1533-position model. The record is from RNAcentral.
GAUGAACGCUAGCGACAGGCCUAACACAUGCAAGUCGAGGGGCAUCGGGACGUAGCAAUACGUUGCCGGCGACCGGCGGAUGGGUGAGUAACGCGUAUGCAACCUACCCGUAGCAGGGGGAUAGCCCGUUGAAAGACGGAUUAAUACCCCGUAACACAGGGGCUCCGCAUGGAGAUUAUUGUUAAAGGGUCAUUUCUUUUUCAGGGAUGGUCCGGCUGCGGAUGGGCAUGCGUUCCAUUAGGUAGUUGGGGUGUAGGUAACUGCUCACCAAGCCGACGAUGGAUAGGGGAACUGAGAGGUUGGUCCCCCACACUGGUACUGAGACACGGACCAGACUCCUACGGGAGGCAGCAGUGAGGAAUUUUGGCAAUGGACGCAAGUCUGAACCAGCCAUGUCGCGUGAAGGAGGACGGCCCUAAGGGUUGUAAACUUCUUUUGCUAGUGGAAUAAAGUUUGCCACGUGUGGCGAUUUGCAAGUACGCUGCGAAUAGGAUCGGCUAACUCCGUGCCAGCC